UGACUAAGACAGCCACCAUACAUAGUA
RNAcentral lists this unclassified non-coding RNA (27 nucleotides) under Mus musculus (house mouse). RNAcentral's name for it is "oocyte_clustered_small_RNA6939". The record is from RNAcentral. Lineage: Eukaryota; Metazoa; Chordata; Mammalia; Rodentia; Muridae.